ACCCUCUCGCCGGAAAUCGCCGCCGCCGCCUUCGCCGCCGCACCGCCACCGUCGCCGGAACCCCAUCCUUUACCAAAAUUUCCAGAUUUUCUUCUCUUCCUUCCCUCUUUCCAUUUCUCCAACCAAAAUCAAGAAAUUUGGCCAUCCAACCCUCCAAAAACCUUAGAACCCGAAGCUAAAUUGGGGCUUUUUGUGAUUUCUUCUUUCCAAGUUCAAAUCAAGAGGCUAGGCUAUGGGUUUGGCAAGGAUUUGUGGUGAAGAAGGCCAAUGAGGAGGAUUAGGCCAUGAGUUUUGAAGAAGAAAGCGAAACACGAUCGUUAAGGAAGCUUAAGCGGAAAGCACCAGAGUGUGGAAUACGCCGGCAUUUCCAGGUAGGGUGAGCUGUCCCUUCCUUGUUAGAGGCUUUUCUAUAUGUGGAAUGCUCUAGUAUCAUAAUAUGUUGCCUGCAAGUACGUUUUUGGUUGUUCAUUAGUCGAUGCCUCGUGAUAUCCGUGUUUCCAUAACUGAUAAUUGCUUAUUGUGAAAACCGAGGCUAGACUUGCAUGUUGAGAUACUGUACCCAUUGUAUGUUUGUACUUGUGACCUGAAAGUGAAUGGGACCUAGACGCGUAGAUUCCUAGGGAUCCCACGGUGUCGAUAACCGUGAACCUCCGGAGGGGGCCGUGCUCCUAUGUUUGUCGAAAAAAAAAGUGAGUAUAGACAGUGAACCAGUCAUAGGAGACUCAGGGCCAGGAAAUGGACACUUUCGCUACUUGUAGUCAGAAGUACUACAGAGUAGUUGGCCGGUUCUCGAAUUCAGGACGAACCAGGUCGGUCACCGAUUUGAUUU
Molecule: long non-coding RNA, 829 nt
Organism: Rosa rugosa (rugosa rose)
Lineage: Eukaryota; Viridiplantae; Streptophyta; Magnoliopsida; Rosales; Rosaceae
Exons: 4
Source: RefSeq, a predicted model, not a curated record